This 888-nucleotide ribosomal RNA is filed under the name Bacillus safensis. RNAcentral describes it as "bacterial SSU rRNA". It matches the Rfam family "Bacterial small subunit ribosomal RNA", at positions 17 to 886 of the family's 1533-position model. The record is from RNAcentral. Lineage: Bacteria; Bacillati; Bacillota; Bacilli; Caryophanales; Bacillaceae.
UUCCCGCUCAGGACGAACGCUGGCGGCGUGCCUAAUACAUGCAAGUCGAGCGGACAGAAGGGAGCUUGCUCCCGGAUGUUAGCGGCGGACGGGUGAGUAACACGUGGGUAACCUGCCUGUAAGACUGGGAUAACUCCGGGAAACCGGAGCUAAUACCGGAUAGUUCCUUGAACCGCAUGGUUCAAGGAUGAAAGACGGUUUCGGCUGUCACUUACAGAUGGACCCGCGGCGCAUUAGCUAGUUGGUGGGGUAAUGGCUCACCAAGGCGACGAUGCGUAGCCGACCUGAGAGGGUGAUCGGCCACACUGGGACUGAGACACGGCCCAGACUCCUACGGGAGGCAGCAGUAGGGAAUCUUCCGCAAUGGACGAAAGUCUGACGGAGCAACGCCGCGUGAGUGAUGAAGGUUUUCGGAUCGUAAAGCUCUGUUGUUAGGGAAGAACAAGUGCGAGAGUAACUGCUCGCACCUUGACGGUACCUAACCAGAAAGCCACGGCUAACUACGUGCCAGCAGCCGCGGUAAUACGUAGGUGGCAAGCGUUGUCCGGAAUUAUUGGGCGUAAAGGGCUCGCAGGCGGUUUCUUAAGUCUGAUGUGAAAGCCCCCGGCUCAACCGGGGAGGGUCAUUGGAAACUGGGAAACUUGAGUGCAGAAGAGGAGAGUGGAAUUCCACGUGUAGCGGUGAAAUGCGUAGAGAUGUGGAGGAACACCAGUGGCGAAGGCGACUCUCUGGUCUGUAACUGACGCUGAGGAGCGAAAGCGUGGGGAGCGAACAGGAUUAGAUACCCUGGUAGUCCACGCCGUAAACGAUGAGUGCUAAGUGUUAGGGGGUUUCUCGCCCCUUAGUGCUGCAGCUAACGCAUUAAGCACUCCGCCUGGGAGACGCCCC